RNAcentral lists this non-coding RNA (219 nucleotides) under Cairneyella variabilis. The record is from RNAcentral. Lineage: Eukaryota; Fungi; Ascomycota; Leotiomycetes; Helotiales.
UAGGAAAGUCCGAAGCUAAUUAGGCAUAAACAUAUAAAGAUGUAUGUUAAGUAAAAACUUGGGUAUUAAGUAGAAAAUAAUUAAUAUAUUCAUAUAAGUUAAUUAUAACUAAAUGUAUAAAUAUAUAUUAAUAUUAUACAGUUAAAUAGUAUUAACGAACUUGCAAGCUCUAUGUCAAGCAUUAAUAUAGAUUAAUAAUUAUGACAGGACUCGGCUUAA